Molecule: ribosomal RNA, 356 nt
Filed under: uncultured bacterium
Lineage: Bacteria
Description: bacterial SSU rRNA
Rfam family: Bacterial small subunit ribosomal RNA
Source: RNAcentral
AGAGUUUGAUCAUGGCUCAGGAUGAACGCUGGCGGCGUGCUUAACACAUGCAAGUCGAACGAAGAUGCCGGAGUGCUUGCACUUUGGCAGACUGAGUGGCGGACGGGUGAGUAACGCGUGGGUAACCGUGCCUUAUACAGGGGGAGUAACAGUUGGAAACGACUGCUAAUACCGCAUAAGCGCACGGUAUCGCAUGAUACAGUGUGAAAAACUACCGGUGGUAUAAGAUGGACCCGCGUCUGAUUAGCUUGUUGGUGAGGUAACGGCUCACCAAGGCGACGAUCAGUAGCCGGCCUGAGAGGGUGAACGGCCACAUUGGGACUGAGACACGGCCCAAACUCCUACGGGAGGCAGCA